CGCUCAGGUGGCUUAAGUGGUUACAGCGUUAGCCUCGGAUGCGGGAGGUCGCAGGUUCGAACCCCGGCCGAGUCA
This is a non-coding RNA of Potamilus streckersoni, 75 nucleotides long. Lineage: Eukaryota; Metazoa; Mollusca; Bivalvia; Unionida; Unionidae. The record is from the annotation of a GenBank genome assembly.